GACGAACGCUGGCGGCGUGCUUAACACAUGCAAGUCGAACGGAAAGGCCCUGCUUGCAGGGUACUCGAGUGGCGAACGGGUGAGUAACACGUGUGUGAUCUGCCCUGCACUUCGGGAUAAGCCUUGGAAACUGGGUCUAAUACCGGAUAGGAGCCAUUUUUAGUGUGAUUGUUGGAAAGUUGUUUGGGUGUAGGCUGAGCUCGCGGCCUAUCAGCUUGUUGGUGGGGUAAUGGCAUAACAAGGCUGCGACGGGGAGCCGGACUGGGAGGGUGGAGGGCAACAGUGGGACUGAGACAGGGCCACGACUCAUACGGGAGGGAGAAGUGGGGAAUAUUGAAAUAUGGGAGUAAGCGUGAUGCAGAGACGGCGCGUGGGGGAUGACGGCGUUGGGGUUGUAAAUUCAUUGCGCUAGGGACGAAGCUUUUUGUGACGGUACCUAGAUAAGAAGCACCGGCUAACUCCGUG
Molecule: ribosomal RNA, 465 nt
Filed under: uncultured bacterium
Lineage: Bacteria
Description: partial 16S ribosomal RNA
Rfam family: Bacterial small subunit ribosomal RNA
Source: RNAcentral